Molecule: ribosomal RNA, 245 nt
Filed under: uncultured Comamonadaceae bacterium
Lineage: Bacteria; Pseudomonadati; Pseudomonadota; Betaproteobacteria; Burkholderiales; Comamonadaceae
Description: partial 16S ribosomal RNA
Rfam family: Bacterial small subunit ribosomal RNA
Source: RNAcentral
AUUGAACGCUGGCGGUAUGCUUUACACAUGCAAGUCGAACGGCAGCAUAGGUGCUUGCACCUGAUGGCGAGUGGCGAACGGGUGAGUAAUGCAUCGGAACGUGCCCAAUCGUGGGGGAUAACGCAGCGAAAGCUGUGCUAAUACCGCAUACGAUCUACGGAUGAAAGCGGGGGACCUUCGGGCCUCGCGCGAUUGGAGCGGCCGAUGUUAGAUUAGGUAGUUGGUGGGGUAAAGGCUCACCAAGC